UACGGAGGGUGCAAGCGUUGCUCGGAAUUAUUGGGCGUAAAGGGUAGGUAGGUGGUCUCGUUUGUCUGAGGUGAAAGCCUUGAGCUUAACUCAAGAAGUGCCUUAGAAACGGCGAGACUAGAGGUCUGGAGAGGGUCGUGGAAUUCCCGGUGUAGCGGUGAAAUGCGCAGAUAUCGGGAGGAACACCGGUGGCGAAGGCGGCGUUCUGGACUGCAACUGACACUGAGGAACGAAAGCCAGGGGAGCAAACGGG
This 253-nucleotide ribosomal RNA is filed under the name uncultured bacterium. RNAcentral describes it as "partial 16S ribosomal RNA". It matches the Rfam family "Bacterial small subunit ribosomal RNA", at positions 524 to 776 of the family's 1533-position model. The record is from RNAcentral.